Molecule: RNA transcript, 2802 nt
Organism: Syngnathus typhle (broad-nosed pipefish)
Lineage: Eukaryota; Metazoa; Chordata; Actinopteri; Syngnathiformes; Syngnathidae
Gene name: cGMP-dependent protein kinase 1-like
Exons: 21
Source: RefSeq, a predicted model, not a curated record
CAAAGAGUCUCUUUCUUGUAGGGCAUGAGCACUCGGCUGAUGGCGGCAACAAAGAGAGGCGGCGGCAUGCUGCGUGACCUGCAGGUGGCGUUGCAGCGGAAGAUUGAGGAGCUGACGGAGCGAGACGCGCUGAUUGAGGAGCUGGAGUCAGAACUGGAUGCCAAAGAUCUCCUGAUUGGCCAUUUGCGGGCCGAGCUGGACCGUCAUCGUAGUUUGAUGCCGGGCACCGACGAUACUGCCGCUGCACAGACACCCGACGCAGCAGGUGGCGCUCCAGCAAUGCCAGCACCGUCACUCGAUGAGCCUCAGCGCACCAAGAGACAGGCCAUAUCGGCAGAACCCAGCGCUCUGGAUCCUGCCCGACUCACCGACGUCACGCUCACCAGCUACUGCAAGAGCAAAGAGUCCAGCGAGCUGAUCCAGAGAGCGCUGAUGGACAAUGACUUCAUGAAGCAUCUGGAACAUGGACAGAUCCUCACCAUCUUGGACUGCAUGCGGCCCACCAGCCUGGACAAAGGCUGCUGCGUCAUCCAGGAGGGCGACGACGGAUCUAGCGUCUUUGUUCUGGAGGAGGGCAUGGUGGAGGUGAGCAAAGAAGGCAAAAAGCUGUGCACCAUCGGCCCCGGCAAAGUCUUUGGCGAGCUCGCCAUCUUGUACAACUGCACGCGCACGGCUACAGUGACGGCUCUGACCGACAUCAAGUUGUGGGCCAUUGAUCGCCAGGGCUUUCAGACCAUUAUGAUGAGGACCGGCCUCAUCAAGCAUUCCCAGUACACGGACUUCCUGCGCAGCGUUCCGUCCUUCCAGGCCCUUCCAGAGGACGUUCUCAGCAAGCUGGCUGAUGUUCUGGAGGAGACUCACUAUAGCAAUGGCGACUACAUCAUCCGGCAGGGCGCCACGGGAGACACCUUCUUCAUUAUCAGUGAAGGGCAGGUGACGGUGUGGCAGCAGACCGCCCCCAGUGGUCAGCAGGUGCCGGUGAAGACGCUGUCCAAAGGCGACUGGUUUGGCGAGCAAGCGCUGAAAGGGGAAGAUGUGCGUACGGCCUCCUCCCACGUUCCAUCCUUUCACAUCAGACAAGGCAAACAUCGUGCAUGGUCCUUCAAGCAGCUGAUCGGCGGCUUAGAGGAAGUGGACCGCCAGCAGGGAGACGACGAGCACGUCAAAGCCAAGUGCCCGGCUGAGGACGACUUCUUCUCCGGCGUGACGCUCGACGACCUUGCCGUGGUCUGCACCUUGGGCAUGGGUGGCUUCAGCCGCGUGGAGCUGGUGCAGCUCAAGAGAGACGCUGGGCGCUCCUUCGCCCUCAAAGUGUUGAAGAAGCGCCACAUUCUGGACACCAGGCAGCAGGAGCACAUCCUGUCGGAACGCCGCAUCAUGAUGGAAGUCAACAGCCCCUUCAUCAUCAGGUUGUACCGCACCUUCCGGGACCCCAAAUACUUGUAUAUGCUGCUAGAGGUUUGUCUUGGCGGAGAGCUGUGGACGCUCUUAAGAGACAGGGGCUCCUUUGACGACGGGACCACAAGAUUCUACACGACGUGCGUUAUCGAGGCUCUGGCGGAGCUCCACUGUAAAGGGAUCAUCUACCGAGACCUCAAGCCGGAGAAUAUCAUCCUUGACCACAGAGGCUACGCCAAGUUGGUGGAUUUUGGCUUCGCUAAGAAGGUGGGCUUGGGGAAGAAGACCUGGACCUUCUGCGGGACCCCCGAGUACGUGGCCCCCGAGAUCAUCCUCAACAAAGGUCACGACAGCUCGGCCGACUGCUGGUCCCUGGGGAUCCUGGUCUUUGAGCUUCUCAGCGGAAGUCCGCCGUUUUCCGGCUCGGACCCCAUGAAGACGUACAACAUCAUCUUGAGGGGGAUCGACAUGGUGGAAUUCCCCAAAAAGAUCACCAAGAGUGCCGCAAACCUCAUCAAGAGACUCUGCAGGUUGUGGCCCAGCAAAGGCUACCAAGGACAACCCCUCGGAACGUCUCGGGAACCAGAAGAACGGCGUAAAGGACAUUCAGAAGCACAAGUGGUUCGAGGGCUUCAACUGGGAUGGCCUCCGCCAGGGAACCUUGGACUGUCCCUUUAUGCCAAGGGUGGACGGCCCGUUGGACAACAGCAACUUUGAUGACUUCCCCCUGGACACCGAGGGCCCUCCCCCUGAUGACGAGUCAGGCUGGGACCUGGAGUUCUGAAACAGCUUGGCCAGGUCAGAGGCUCAAUGGAGAACGCACAAGUCUGGACCGUGUGGAGGUGGUAGGGGAGAGGAGGAGGGUGGCUAAGCUGUCCUCCAUCAUGGACAACAUCUCCCACCCCCUUCAUGAGACUGUCAGAGCCCUGGAGAGCUCCAUCAGUGACCGGCUUCGUCACCCACGAUGACCCACCGAGAGGCAUCGCACGCAGGUCCUUCCUCCCUGCUGCCAUCAGACUGGACAACCAGGCUUAUCACUGUAGCUAACGGACAAUAAUUACGUGCAAUAAUCAAAAAGUCAAAAAAGUCAAAAGUCAGCUUUAUUGUCAAUCUCUUCACAUGUCACACAAAGAAUAUUAACGUGCAAUAUCUGUCUACCUCAUACUCUUUUUACCUGCUUUAUUUUUUGCACAGUUUUUUUUCUUCCUUUGCACUAUUUUUCUAUCUAAUAUUUAUUUAUAUUGUGUAUAUACUGUCCAUAUUUUUUUAAUUAUAUAUAUCUUUUACUUUUUAAAAUCUUUUACCCCCUUCUCCACAUGCGUGUGUGUGUGUAUAUGUUAAGUGUACUGCUGCUUACACAGGAGUUUCCCCAUUGAGGGAAUAAUAAAGGAUCAUCUUAUUUGA